UAAUGUGCUGUGGGCUUAAUCCCUCA
Molecule: non-coding RNA, 26 nt
Filed under: Rattus norvegicus (Norway rat)
Lineage: Eukaryota; Metazoa; Chordata; Mammalia; Rodentia; Muridae
Source: RNAcentral